Molecule: long non-coding RNA, 337 nt
Filed under: Capsicum annuum
Lineage: Eukaryota; Viridiplantae; Streptophyta; Magnoliopsida; Solanales; Solanaceae
Description: long non-coding RNA (CANN_LNC012191)
Source: RNAcentral
AACUUGAGAAUGUUAAGCACAAGUGUGUCAAAUAUAAUAUCUUUUGACUGAAUCAGCAUUGAUAGCUUUUCCUGUCAUUUUUCUGUCCAGAUCCGCAAGUUGCAAAGCUCUAUUUGAUAAUACUUGUCUAACUAUGUAUGGACCUUGCCAGUUUGGAGCAAACUUUCCUUUAGCCUCUUCUUGGUGUGGAAGGAUGCAUUUUACCACAAGUUGGCCGGCCUCGAAUUUUCUAGGACGUACCUUCUUAUUGUAAGCUCGCGCCAUCCUCUUCUGGUAUAAUUGACCAAAUCAAACUUCCGUCAACCUUUUUUCAUCUAUUAACGAUAAUUGUUCUAGU